Molecule: long non-coding RNA, 621 nt
Organism: Oncorhynchus tshawytscha (Chinook salmon)
Lineage: Eukaryota; Metazoa; Chordata; Actinopteri; Salmoniformes; Salmonidae
Exons: 2
Source: RefSeq, a predicted model, not a curated record
GUAGGAUGUUACAUUUAUUUUAUUAUUACAUAUUUAUUUAUACUUUUUACAUUUCAUUUUGUAAUAAUCAGAACACAUAUCUCAGGACAGUGAAGAAAAUGUGGAGGAAUGUCAUGUUUUGUACCUACUUAAUAAAAUACAACAGCAUCAAUAUUAUCAUUCAGUCCCAUUAAACAAGCUACAACAAAGACUCCUAAAACGCAAGCUUGACAUUAUAUAAAACUAUUGGUACCUCUAUAACACUGUGGAGGAGGUUAGGAGUGAGGCAUGGAGGGAGGGGGUUGGGACUGAUGUAUUGAUAAAGGGCUACCAGACAGAUAGGGGUCUGAUAGAUCGAUAGGUGACUAGUUAUGGAGGAUAGGAGUCAAUAAUAGAUCAAUCCAUCGAUAGGAGACUAUGUAUGGAGGAUAGGAGUCAAUAAUAGAUCAAUCCAUCGAUAGCAGACUAGUUAUGGAAGGUAGGGGUCAAUAACAGCAGGAGGUAUUGGGUAGGUGACUAGUUAUGGAAGGUAGGGGUCAAUAACAGCAGGAGGUAUUGGUUAGGUGACUAGUUACGGGAGGUAGGGGUCAAUAACAGCAGGAGGUAUUGGGUAGGUGAAUAGUUACGGGAGGUAGGGGUCAA